Molecule: RNA transcript, 4851 nt
Organism: Ceratina calcarata
Lineage: Eukaryota; Metazoa; Arthropoda; Insecta; Hymenoptera; Apidae
Exons: 3
Source: RefSeq, a predicted model, not a curated record
CGUAAAAUAUUCACCAGCCGGCACAGACCGGUGGAAAAUUUCCAUUACGUAGUCUGCCACCACGAAGGGUCGCGUCCAGACUUUUUCUCAACCCUCAACGCGCCGCGCGCUAUUAUUUUGCAGCGAACGGAACGAAGGAAUGUUCCUGGCGCCGGUGAGGAUUUAUGUGAACACGCGCGUGUAACGGCCGAUUAUUAGAAAAUUUACGCGGUAAAUUAAACGUUAUUCAGCGGAAGAGACGAGGCCUUCUUCUGGCGCGUGGCUGAUACCGCCUCCGUUUAAAGUCUGCCCACGAAGAUAGCGGCACGGGAAUGGGGUUUACUCGUUCGCCUGACGUCGCGUCGCGUCGCCCGAGGAACUUCGUUCAACACAGCAUGUCGAACGCGACAAUAUUUGCGAAUUCGCCAUUCGAAGGAACGAAAUAAUUAGAGCGAUGAUCGUCGACUCGCGUCGCGGCACGGCGAAAGGGAUGAAAAGCUGGGCGAGGAGAAGGAAGGCGCGAGAAUACGCUUCGCGGUGGAAAUCCGACGAAGUUAUAAUUACCUGGACGAGAGAGCGUGCUCUGGCGUCGACGAAUACUACAACGGGAGAGACAGUCGAGGUAAGACAGAGAGACGGUGGUCCGGGUGGCGAACCCGGGAGAGCGCGUGCGAAAGAGAGGCCGACAAAUGUGGCAGCGAUUAAAAAGGGAGGAUCAGAAAGGGGUAGCGGCCAGAGGGGUAUGGGACGUUUAUUCCGUGCGGCUACACGGAAUCUCUUCCGGUUUGACAAAACAGGUCGGACAACCGGGCGGAAGGUGCGAAUUUCGUAUGGAUGUCACCGCGACGCGAACGAGUUUGCGAGACCACGUCGGAGAGUGCACACGUACUGUCUCUCUAUAGGCCAUCUAUUCAUCUCUCUCGCUCUCUCUCUCUGUUCCAUCAUCCGUCUCUCCGUUCGGUUAACGUCAGCCAGAUCGCGUUCUCCGCCGACACUGCGUCUCUUAUGCGCGGCAACAACGAACGUAUUCCUCCUGGCCGGGCGAGAGAUCGCCGAGAUGUGCCACCUGAAACUAUGCUGCUCGUUCGAAUGAGAUUCGGAUAGCUAUGGAGGCAGAAACAGAGACGGGGAGACAGAAAGAUGGAAUGGGGAUGAAACGGAGAAGAGGGAAUGGUACAGGUUAGGGUCAGGUGGUGAUACAAAGUUGUUUGGACGGACAACAGAGAGAGCAGAAAAGCUUGCAUGGUUGGUUAUAAUUCGCUAAGAAGCUUUGCUAUCGCGGAACAUCCCCAUCGGUAUUCUGUUUCCCGUUUCCCGAUCGUAUCGUAGCCUCAUGUUCCUUUUAUAACACCGUAAUAAUAUUUCUUUUAAAUGGAUUCUGCAAUACACGUAUUUUACAGUUUCUCUUCGUUCUCUUCUCUGUUUCAAAUUCUAUAAUAAUUUAUAGGUAUAACGAACGUCGUUUGAAUUGUCUGAUUAGUCGGUGACAUGUACUACUUGCAACGUAUAUUGUUUCGAUAGCAUAGUAUAAGCGAGUACAAAGAACUGGUAAAAUAUUUCGUAAACAUAGCCAUUCCUCUAUUAAUGAGGAAUGCAAUAUAUUCUAACAGCUUCUCAAACCGGGCACUAAGACAAUGGCAAACAGGUAUAACAGCCAUGAAUUUAAGAGGAACCACAUGUUUCUAGGAAAAUUCUGCACAAUGAGAUGAUAAUUAAAAUCCGAAGAAUGCGCCGCGAAUUUGUAAAGACGUCGUUCCGUCGAGCGGGAAGAACGCGAGAAGCACGACGAUAGUAGUUAGGACGGGCGAGAGGGUUGGCCGGGUCAGCCAGUUGGAGAGAGCAUCGGCAAAUAUCUCAGGAACACAACGAGUGACCCGCAUAAAGAAGGAAAUUGCUCUAAGAAUCUUCAGUCUCGAAUUGCUGGGCCGGAAUAAAUAAGCAAAACUCGUGGUGCACGCGAAUCAAAGCGCGCGCGUUUUCCGCUCCCUCUCCCUUUUUCUCCGUUCUCCCUUUGUCCACCGUUCGUUCUCUCCUCAUCGAACAAAUUCCUCCUAACGAGAGAAGAGUUCUCCGUUGAUAAUAGACACCUUUUGCCCCUUUGGACGUCGCGAUCGUUCUGGACAAUUGUAAACUCGCAUGGAAAUAUACGUGAGUCUCUUCUUCUCCUCCUCCUUUUACGUUUUCCCCAUUUGUCUUUUCUCCUUUUUUUGCCCCACGUUUGCUUCUUUCGUUGGGUUCUUCUUUCCAUGGAACACGCGGAGGGAGAAAAGAAGACUAUGCGUGCUCGUUCCGCUUCCACUGGGAUCAUAUUUUUGCUCGUGAUAGUGUAAUGCGGCUGCCAAUAAUGUUUCUCGUUACCGCAGGCAUCCAUUAACGAAUAAUGCAAGGGAUUUCAUCGAUUCGAAACGCGCAUAAUAGUACGUCAAUCGUAUCCCGGAACCAGAUGUUGUGACAAGACGAGACUUUGAGGCUCUACUUCCAUCUCGUUGACGAUGCAGCCCCUCCUCUUCCAAAUCGUCUCCCAGCAAAUUAUAAUGGUUCUGCGUAUAAGACGACUAGUUACGAUGUAUCAGAUAAAACGUAUGCAACGUCUGACGUGGCUAACAAUGUUCUAACGUUGAAAUUUUUUCAAACAUUGCUCCAAGUCAUGAAAGUUUUCAUUAUUUUAGAAAGAUCAAACCAUUAUUAGGAGAACAGCCGCACGGUUUAUUAAACUAAGAUUUGAUCCAGAGAAAGAUGCUUUUCCCCAAUCGUUAUCGAGACUAAACUUGUCCUCGUCAUUCUUUUACGUUAAUUCCAUUAUCGCUAUUGCAUUAUUGUUAUAAGAUUAAAUGAAAUGACUUUACUUGAUCAGUAACGGACUUUACAGACUUGUCUUUCCUUUCCUUCAAAUACUAUUAAUUUCCUUUAUAAACGGACACUAGUGUUUAACAAAAUAAAGUAAGCAAAGUCUUUUUAAGCAACUGCCAAGUUUCCAAAAGGCAUAGCAAUUUUGCGUUGCUUUUAAGUGGUAUAAUAAUAUCUAACGUUAAUGUUUUAAAGUUCGUAGUAUGCGUAAUAAUAAUAGCAGUAAAUUUAUAAGGUUAAUGAACAUAGGUAUUCAAACUUCAGGAAGUAGAGUCUGGUCUUACUUUCUUAAAGUUCCCGCUCUAAAGACACUGUCAGGUUAUAGGUCUUACCCCAACGUACGAGUCCUUUAAAUUCAUCUUGGGAGUUUAAAAAGAAAUUUAAUUCGAACUUUAAACAAGUGUUCAAACUGGCUCCAUUGUCAUACGCCGCAUUUCUAUAAAAUAAACUAGACACUGUAAGCAAAUGAAAAUUGCGAUUAUAAAGACAAUUUCUUUUGGAAAAUAAGAUAAACGUCAGUUUCUCUGAAUCAGUCAAUAAGUAUUUUGUCGGAACAAAUAGUUUUUUGAAGAACUAAUAAAAAUAAAUAAAAAUAAUGAAAAAUCAGAAGAUUUGAGCGGUAAAUAGGCGAUAAAAGAAACUUGUUCUCUAAAAAUGCAACGAGAAAGAGGCGGACCUGCUCGGACGAGGAGCUUUAAUUUCAUGGCACGAUCGGUUCAAAAUGAAAUCUCGCACGCAACCGAAGCGACGACGACCCGCGGAAACAGGGAGGCCGCGCGCACUUUUUAUGCGGGGAACAAAGUUUUCUGGCUUGGUUAAAGCGCGCUCUUUACGCUCGUAUUCACGGUCGGGGCCGCGGCUCGUCGUAAAUCCGUGCCGAUUCCGAGCAUCCGGUUUGAUUAACCCUUUGAAAGCUCGAGAGACAUGUAAUUAUCCGCGUCUACUUCACCUUAGCUGGCGGAAUGGACGCUCUCCUUUCUGAUUGUUAAUUUGAACUUCCGUAUCUUCAACUCAUUCGAUUUGCCGUUUCCGUUUACGUCUGUUCUUUUAACGAGUUCCACUUUUAGUAGUGACGUGAGAUAAACACGCGAAAAUCCAUUUGUUACUAGCAAUUGCCAUACUCAAUUUCGAUAAAAUAAUGAACAACAACAAAUAUUAAGUUUUCAUUCUAUGACUCUAGAUUGAUUUCAAAAUCUUCAGAAUUAUCAAAAAUAUACAACAGAUACAUUAUAAGAAUACAUAUCUAAAACAAUGCCAGAUUGAGAGUAUUAAGAAAUGUACGACAAUUUUAAAGAAUUCCGCGUUUAGAGCUAUAAAUACUUCAUUAAGUGGAUGUAAAAUGUAGUAAUUAGACAAGUACUUGUACAUAUGUUUAUAAAAAAGCUACUUGAUAAUCAGUUACUACAAAUCUCAGAAAAACUGGUUGAGGUACUCUGUUGCAAGACAACCACCUAAAAAGUCAAUUGCCUUUUACACGAGCUAAAGAGCAAGCAAGCAAGUUCAUUCUAUUACGUUCCGAAAGAGUAGUUAUCACUCGAAAUACAAUUAAUCAUUGUUUCAUUGUUUCCAAGUAUCAAAUCGACACGAUUUUUAGAUCAGAGUUCAAAGUAAGGAGCUUUGCCUUCCACGUUCUCGCGUAUGAAGCUCAAGAAACAUGGUUAAACCGUGCGAAAUCUCGACAAACAGAAUCAUCUCUGGCGACGGUCAAACAGAGCCGGGGUAAUCCCGCGGAUUAAGCUGGCGGCGGCAGACCUUUACCCCCUCGCGCUGCGCUGUAAACAGUUCGUCGAACAUGCCGCGUGGUUCACGCAUCGUUAAGCAACGAGACGAGAGGGCGAGGGCGAGGAACAGAGGGUGGGAGGUGGUAGCGACGGUUGCCAGCCGUCGACGUGCACACAUCGCGUCGCGUCGAUACCCAGUAGCGUGGCUGCUUUGUGCAGGUCGCGCGGGCACGGACUACCCGGUAUUGGGCAAGGUGCCUUACACAAAUUUCUACUGCGACGAUCAGCCAUACCCGGGUUUCUU